This 71-nucleotide microRNA precursor is filed under the name Rhinopithecus roxellana (golden snub-nosed monkey). Its description in RNAcentral is "miRNA (ENSRROG00000027137.1)". The record is from RNAcentral. Lineage: Eukaryota; Metazoa; Chordata; Mammalia; Primates; Cercopithecidae.
GUUGGUGCAAAAGUAAUUGCGGUUUUUGCCAUUGAAAGUAAUAGCAAAAACUGCAAUUACUUUGUACCAAC